GCCGACAUUAGAGCAAAUAAGUGCAUCCUUGCUGAUGAAGCUAUAACUUCUUAGAGAGAGGAAAUAGGAAAAAAUAGCAAGAAGCAUGAGAAUGGAAACAAGAAGGAUGAGUCAAUAAGAAAGCAAAACCAAAAAGAAAGAAAUUCCAUGAGACAUUGGAGACCACCAUAAAGGUUUGAGAGGUACACUUUUCUUGAUGCUCUAAGAGCUUAGAUCCUAAUGA
RNAcentral lists this long non-coding RNA (223 nucleotides) under Elaeis guineensis (African oil palm). RNAcentral's name for it is "long non-coding RNA (EGUI_LNC054922)". The record is from RNAcentral. Lineage: Eukaryota; Viridiplantae; Streptophyta; Magnoliopsida; Arecales; Arecaceae.